GAGCGGUAGUUCAGUUGGUUAGAAUACCGGCCUGUCACGCCGGGGGUCGCGGGUUCGAGUCCCGU
Molecule: transfer RNA, 65 nt
Filed under: Alteromonas sp.
Lineage: Bacteria; Pseudomonadati; Pseudomonadota; Gammaproteobacteria; Alteromonadales; Alteromonadaceae
Also listed under: 1 other name
Description: tRNA-Asp
Rfam family: tRNA
About the family: Transfer RNA (tRNA) molecules are approximately 80 nucleotides in length.
Source: RNAcentral